UUCUCAAAAUAUUUUCUUUUCUUCAUGAGAAGUUCCUUCAAGAACUUUGCAUAUGACGACAUUUGCUGAAGUGCCUCAAAAAAUGGUAUGGUGAUUUCCAACUUCUUAAAAAUCUCCAUAAAUUGCUCAAACUGUUUUUCUUUCUCCUUCCUUGAAUAUGUCUUGGGAUAAGGAAGGGGGUUUUCAUACUCUUUUUCUUUUAAUUUUUCAACCUCUUCUUUUUGUAUCUCUCCCUCAACUCUUAUUUUUUCACUCUUCACACUUUCUUCUUCCUCUCUUUUCUCCCUCUGAUCACUUUUUUUCUCUUUACUCUGUUUUUCAUUCUCUCUUCUCUCAAUUUUUCUCUCUUUUUACACUCUUCCACCCCUAGUAACAACAGUCUCACAUGCUUCUCUUGCAGCACUUCUCUCAUUCCUCUCACCACCAUGCUCUUCCAUUCUAGUGUUCCUGUCCUCCAAACAUUUAAUAUAAAAUACACUUCUAUUCAUAACUUGCUCUGCUCCAAUAUAACAUCGUGAUAUUGUAACACUGACACGUCCUGUUGUUGGAUAAAAUCAGUACUUUCACUUCUCAUCUCAUUGUUACUAGCUGCCAUAUUCUCUAUCAGCUCAUAAGCUUCAUCAGCAGUCUUAUUCUGAAUAUUUCCUCCUACUGCAGCAAUCAAAAUAAGAUUGGACUAUAGGUUAAGACCUCCCAGGAAUGUAAGAACUAAUGUUGUUCUAUCAAAACCAUGAACAUGUGUCUUUCUCAGCAAACUUUUAAAGCUAUCCCAUGCCUGUCCAAGAGUUUCCUACAUGCCCUGUUUUAAGGAAGAAAUCUCCAACUUUCCUUGGAUAAUCUUUGAUUGUGGAAAAUAUUUACUCAAAAAUUUAGACGCCAUAGUUUCUCAUGUUGUAAAGCGUCCUUCUGCAAAAGAAUUCAACCAUAACUUGGCAUUGCCUCCC
Molecule: long non-coding RNA, 944 nt
Filed under: Vigna radiata
Lineage: Eukaryota; Viridiplantae; Streptophyta; Magnoliopsida; Fabales; Fabaceae
Description: long non-coding RNA (VRAD_LNC010014)
Source: RNAcentral